Engraulis encrasicolus (European anchovy) is the source of this 283-nucleotide long non-coding RNA. RefSeq lists it as uncharacterized. The transcript has 3 exons. The record is from RefSeq and is a predicted model, not a curated record. NCBI's taxonomy places the organism in Eukaryota, Metazoa, Chordata, Actinopteri, Clupeiformes, Engraulidae.
CAUUGUAAAUAACCCUGAUGUACCGCCACUGUUUAUGAUGAUGUCAUUUCAUCGCGACCUCCAUGCAUUGGAUUGUGGAUUUGAUUGUACUGCCUGCAGUCUGAUGUGGUUUGGCUGAGCUUUAUUCAUCAAUUGUUUUACGUCUCCAGUUUUCCCUGAGGUCCAAAAUAUUCAGUGGAGUGAAACUGUUGAUGGCAGCAAAAUGUAACAAGCUUGUCCUGGAGGACUGCUCUUAUGGGGAAUGCUGUGGAGGAGAGACAGGCAGACUGUGGUCCAUCGUGUG